This 231-nucleotide ribosomal RNA is filed under the name uncultured bacterium. RNAcentral's name for it is "partial 16S ribosomal RNA". It matches the Rfam family "Bacterial small subunit ribosomal RNA", at positions 118 to 350 of the family's 1533-position model. The record is from RNAcentral.
UGGGCAACCUGCCCUCAGCUCUGGGAUAACCCCGGGAAACCGGGGCUAAUACCGGAUACGACCUCCGCGGGCAUCUGCGGAGGUGGAAAGGUUUUCCGGCUGAGGAUGGGCCCGCGGCCUAUCAGCUUGUUGGUGGGGUGACGGCCCACCAAGGCGACGACGGGUAGCCGGCCUGAGAGGGCGACCGGCCACACUGGGACUGAGACACGGCCCAGACUCCUACGGGAGGCA